Nicotiana attenuata is the source of this 735-nucleotide long non-coding RNA. RefSeq lists it as uncharacterized. The transcript is spliced from 5 exons. Lineage: Eukaryota; Viridiplantae; Streptophyta; Magnoliopsida; Solanales; Solanaceae. The record is from RefSeq and is a predicted model, not a curated record.
UAAACAAGGCAUAAAGAAGCAGAAAUAGGGGAAAUGGAGCGGAACUCAUGACGAUUGGCCGGGUCGUCACAUUUUUCCAAGAUCCCUUUUCCCUCUUUUCUUCUUUUAGGUUUUCGUCAUGAUUUUUAAUUUUGCAACCUACUGGCUGGUGUGUGUUAAAUCGGAUGGGCUUUGUGUGCUGCGAUGCUCAACAAUUCUUAAUUUUAUCACCCAGAUAGUAAGGUAAGCUAAAUUGGAGAAGGAGUUAACAGAUGUAGAAGCGAAAAGGAGCAGAGAAAGGAAGACAUACGCAUAUGUAAUCCAUAUAUGUAGUUCAGCAAAAUCUACCUUUUCAGAAAGUUUCCACAAAUUCAAGGUGGCAUUUUCUAUGAUGACGUCCACACUCUAGAGGAGAUAUAUUGUCUAUGUGAAAGGAUGCUCUUGUAUCAACCUGCAUCUCACAGUUAGAAGGUUGCGUUGUGCAAGUGGCAAUAGAAGUCGAGGAACGUGGCUGUCAGCCAUUACAAGCAGAUAGUCUUUCAACAUUCUUGGAAGUUUGCCUCAGUUGCUUUAAUCUCUUUAGAGUUGGAACCAUCCAUGAGUGAAUAUUUUGUUCCAAAAUGUAUGUAAAUAGUAUCUAGCAAUUAGUUUGUGAUGUUUAUGUCUGAUUUGAUUAAAACUUACAUGUGUUAACUUUUAUGUAUGCAAUUUCAUACUUGAACAAAGUUUAUAUAAUAAUAAUUUUAAUUUUUAUAA